This 486-nucleotide ribosomal RNA is filed under the name uncultured bacterium. Its description in RNAcentral is "partial 16S ribosomal RNA". It matches the Rfam family "Bacterial small subunit ribosomal RNA", at positions 29 to 507 of the family's 1533-position model. The record is from RNAcentral.
AUUGAACGCUGGCGGCAUGCCUUACACAUGCAAGUCGAACGGCAGCACGGGUGCUUGCCCCUGGUGGCGAGUGGCGAACGGGUGAGUAAUACAUCGGAACAUGUCCUGUAGUGGGGGAUAGCCCGGCGAAAGCCGGAUUAAUACCGCAUACGAUCUACGGAUGACAGCGGGGGACCUUCGGGCCUCGCGCUGUAGGGUUGGCCGAUGGCGGAUUAGCUCGUUGGUGGGGUAAAGGCCUACCAAGGCGACGAUCAGUAGCUGGUCUGAGAGGACGACCAGCCACACUAGGACUGAGACACGGCCCAGACUCCUACGGGAGGCAGCAGUGGGGAAUGUUGGACAAUGGGCGAAAGCCUGAUCCAGCAAUGCCGCGUGUGUGAAGAAGGCCUUCGGGUUGUAAAGCACUUUUGUCCGGAAAGAAAUCCUUGGCCCUAAUACGGUCGGGGGAUGACGGUACCGGAAGAAUAAGCACCGGCUAACUACGUG